GUGGGGAAUAUUGGACAAUGGGCGAAAGCCUGAUCCAGCCAUGCCGCGUGUGUGAAGAAGGUCUUCGGAUUGUAAAGCACUUUAAGUUGGGAGGAAGGGCAGUAAGUUAAUACCUUGCUGUUUUGACGUUACCGACAGAAUAAGCACCGGCUAACUUCGUGCCAGCAGCCGCGGUAAUACGAAGGGUGCAAGCGUUAAUCGGAAUUACUGGGCGUAAAGCACGCGGAGGUGGUUUUGUAAGUUGGAGGUGAAAUCCCCGGGCUCAACCUGGGAACUGCCUCCAAAACUGCAUGACUAGAGUACGGUAGAGGGUAGUGGAAUUUCCUGUGUAGCGGUGAAAUGCGUAGAUAUAGGAAGGAACACCAGUGGCGAAGGCGACUACCUGGACUGAUACUGACACUGAGGUGCGAAAGCGUGGGGAGCAAACAGGAUUAGAUACCCUAGUAGUCC
Molecule: ribosomal RNA, 450 nt
Filed under: uncultured bacterium
Lineage: Bacteria
Description: partial 16S ribosomal RNA
Rfam family: Bacterial small subunit ribosomal RNA
Source: RNAcentral